UGUCAUUCUUCUUUUCAUCAUGAACUCAUAUUUUUUUUUUAUAAAAACAUUUUCUGAAAAAUUGAUACUUACAGUGAAUUUUGAAAACUUAACAAUAUAGGAUUUGAGAUGUUUUACUCCAAAGAAUUAACAUAAAAUGGUUUUAAAAGCAUACUUUUGUGAAAUAUUAUCACCUCCAAAUUGUGUCUUGCAAAUCCUGUCUAUACUAUCACUCUUACAUAUUCAGGAUGAGAAAUAAAGAAAAUGGAAUGAAACAAAACCAAACCAAACAAAAAGAAGAAAAUACUAGGGGACAAUAAUCUAUCAUAAAACAAGAACAAAAGCUCUCAAGUCUACUGAAAAGCAGGUGCCUUGUGAGAACGUACUACUCUGAUCUGAGGCCAAUAACCAGUUGCCACAUUUAUUUUAAUGCUUUGGGGAAUGAAAAAAAAGAUGUCUUUUUUUCCCAUAUAAUAGCAUUGCAUUCUAGUCCAUUCUACAUGGAGCUAUUUGCUAUAAGAGUUCAAGUUUAUUUUUUUUUCCUGAAAUAAUGAAGGGAAAAUAUUUUUUUUUUAAUUUUAUUUAUUUGACAGAGAGAAAUCACAAGUAGACGGAGAAGCAGGCAGAGAGAGAGAGGGAGGAAGCAGGCUUCCUGCUGAGCAGAGAGCCCGAUGUGGGGCUCGAUCCCAGGACCCUGAGAUCAUGUCCUGAGCCGAAGGCAGCAGCUUAACCCACUGAGCCACCCAGGCGCCCCGAAGGGAAAAUAUUUUUAAGGAUAAAAAUUCAAAUAAUGCUAUUAGAUCUCAAGCACAAAAUGAUUGAUUUGAGCAUACGUAUUUGCUCAUUGUGGUACUAAAUGCUCUGUUUUUUAAGAUGAUAAAACAGAGUUGAUACUUAACAAGUGUGCAGUAUGCCCCAAAUUUCUUAUCUUCAACAUGAUGAUACAUACUUUUUCCAGAAACUUUUAAAAAACUAUUUUUUAGGAGUUAAAACAUAUCUUCCUAAUACCUCAAGUUAGGCAGUUGAUAAGAUGAUACUGAGCUGUGUAUAGUUUCAAGAUUAUGGAAUAAACAUAUACUGCAGUUAUCCUUCGCUGCCUCAAACCUUAGUUAGCAA
RNAcentral lists this long non-coding RNA (1095 nucleotides) under Mustela putorius furo (domestic ferret). RNAcentral describes it as "lncRNA (ENSMPUG00000029062.1)". The record is from RNAcentral. Lineage: Eukaryota; Metazoa; Chordata; Mammalia; Carnivora; Mustelidae.